AACGUAGGUGGCGAGCGUUAUCCGGAUUUACUGGGCGUAAAGCGUGUGCAGGUGGCCUGUUAAGUGGUGUAUGAAAUCGCCCGGCUCAACCGGGCGGGGUUAUGCCAGACUGGCAGGCUAGAGGGUGGGAGAGGGAUGUGGAAUUCCGGGUGUAGUGGUGAAAUGCGUAGAUAUCUGGAGGAACACCGGUGGCGAAGGCGGCAUCCUGGACCAACACUGACGCUGAGGAGCGAAAGCCAGGGGAGCAAACGGG
This 253-nucleotide ribosomal RNA is filed under the name uncultured bacterium. RNAcentral describes it as "partial 16S ribosomal RNA". It matches the Rfam family "Bacterial small subunit ribosomal RNA", at positions 524 to 776 of the family's 1533-position model. The record is from RNAcentral.